RNAcentral lists this ribosomal RNA (261 nucleotides) under uncultured bacterium. RNAcentral's name for it is "partial 16S ribosomal RNA". It matches the Rfam family "Bacterial small subunit ribosomal RNA", at positions 1242 to 1500 of the family's 1533-position model. The record is from RNAcentral.
AAGGGAGGCAGACACGCGAGUGCGAGCAAAUCCCAAAAACAACGUCCCAGUUCGGAUUGUAGUCUGCAACCCGACUACAUGAAGCUGGAAUCGCUAGUAAUCGCGAAUCAGCAUGUCGCGGUGAAUACGUUCCCGGGUCUUGUACACACCGCCCGUCACACCAUGGGAGUCGGCAACGCCCGAAGCCAGUGACCCAACCUUUCGGGGAGGGAGCUGUCGAAGGCGGGGCCGGUAACUGGGGUGAAGUCGUAACAAGGUAGC